UAAUUCAAUACAAACUCCUUUUCCACAAGUGUUGGCCCGUUAGAGACGCCAUCUAGUAGGGCUAUGUUCUUCUUUUGAAUAAUACUAAAGUUUAUAUAUAUUUAUUUAUUCCCGCCCUUUUGUUUUUCAAAUCUGUAACGGUCAAAGCGCUUCAUCAUUUAGUUUCUGGAGUUCAGUGAUCCAACUACAGACUGUCAACACACUCUCAACAGGAAUAUUAUUUCAUUCUUAAAUUUAAAUACAAAAUUAACUUUAAAAUUGUAUCUGGUUUUCUAACAAACAUGUUCUUUUCUCGUUUUUUUUGAUCAGAUGUAGUCUAAGUGUGAGAAGCUCUGGCUGAGGAGACUCCUCUUCUCCACUAAAUGCUACACUCUAAAAAAAGAUGGCUCAUUAGGCCUACUGAUUUUCUGGAGUUCAGCUAUCAAACUACACAGACUGUCAACACACUCUCAGCAGUUUAAGAGAACAUAUGCUGUCACAUCCUACAACCUCAUCAUCUGCAGAGAGAAACGGCCACUCAGUCUCACCAAAAUACAUGAUAAUGGACUCUCAGGCAUCAUAGAGGAUGACGAAAAUACAGUAUUUCACUGGAACUUGUUCUUCAUUUCACUAUUUCCAGUUUCUAUUGUGUUUUACUUCUUUAAGUAUUUAUUUAUGUUCAGUGUCAGUUGUCAUUUAUUGUUGUAUUCUGCUAAUAACUGUUGUUAGGGCACUGUCAUUUUUGGUACAAAUUCACAUGUCAUGUCAUUAAUGACACGUUGUUGUUGUUUUUAUGUAAAACCCUAAUAGACACUGUAGGAUAUUGUAAUACUAGGCAGAUAGAGUAGUAAAAAACAAUAUUAAUAAAUAAUACACACA
Molecule: long non-coding RNA, 858 nt
Organism: Cyprinus carpio (common carp)
Lineage: Eukaryota; Metazoa; Chordata; Actinopteri; Cypriniformes; Cyprinidae
Exons: 4
Source: RefSeq, a predicted model, not a curated record